GACGAACGCUGGCGGCGUGCUUAACACAUGCAAGUCGAACGGAAAGGCCCUGCUUUUGUGGUGUGCUCGAGUGGCGAACGGGUGCGUAACACGUGAGUAACCUGCCCUUGACUUUGGGAUAACUUCAGGAAACUGGGGCUACUACCGUAUCGGAGCUCCUGCUGCAUGGUGGGCGUUGGAUCGUUUCGGCGGUUGGGGAUGGACUCGCGGCUUAUCAGCUUGUUGGUGGGGUAGUGGCUUACCAAGGCUUUGACGGGUAGCCGGCCUGAGAGGGUGACCGGCGACAUUGGGACUGAGAGACGGACCAGACUCCUACGGGAGGCAGCAGUGGGGAAUAUUGCACAAUGGGCGGAAGCCUGAUGCAGCAACGCCGCGUGCGGGAUGACGGCCUUCGGGUUGUAAACCGCUUUCGCCUGUGACGAAGCGUGAGUGACGGUAAUGGGUAAAGAAGCACCGGCUAACUACGUG
RNAcentral lists this ribosomal RNA (468 nucleotides) under uncultured bacterium. Its description in RNAcentral is "partial 16S ribosomal RNA". It matches the Rfam family "Bacterial small subunit ribosomal RNA", at positions 28 to 507 of the family's 1533-position model. The record is from RNAcentral.